GUUACCUUAGUUUAAAUAGAACUUCCGCUUUGCAUGUGGAAAGUGGGCUUUGGCCCAGAUAACA
This 64-nucleotide transfer RNA is filed under the name Halosydna sp. YZ-2018. RNAcentral describes it as "tRNA-Ala". The record is from RNAcentral. Lineage: Eukaryota; Metazoa; Annelida; Polychaeta; Phyllodocida; Polynoidae.